Molecule: ribosomal RNA, 271 nt
Filed under: uncultured bacterium
Lineage: Bacteria
Description: partial 16S ribosomal RNA
Rfam family: Bacterial small subunit ribosomal RNA
Source: RNAcentral
UACGGAGGGUCCGAGCGUUAAUCGGAAUUACUGGGCGUAAAGCGUGCGCAGGCGGUUUGUUAAGCGAGAUGUGAAAGCCCUGGGCUCAACCUAGGAAUAGCAUUUCGAACUGGCGAACUAGAGUCUUGUAGAGGGGGGUAGAAUUCCAGGUGUAGCGGUGAAAUGCGUAGAGAUCUGGAGGAAUACCGGUGGCGAAGGCGGCCCCCUGGACAAAGACUGACGCUCAUGCACGAAAGCGUGGGGAGCAAACAGGAUUAGAUACCCGCGUAGU